Molecule: non-coding RNA, 140 nt
Organism: Caenorhabditis elegans
Lineage: Eukaryota; Metazoa; Nematoda; Chromadorea; Rhabditida; Rhabditidae
Source: Ensembl
GUGACUGAAAUUGAUCAAUACACCUAAUUGUUUAUUAUCAAAGAGGUAGGUGCUCCAGAAACUGCACUGAUAACUAAAAAUGCGGAAAAAUGUAUGUAUAGGAAGUUUGUUUUGCUUUCACUUUUUCCAAUUCCAAAUCA